GCCAGGUAUGGUGGUGCACACCUGUAAUCCCAGCGUCUUAGGAGGCUGAGACAGGAGGAUUGCAAGUUCAAAGCCAGUCUCAGCAAUGGCAAGGUACUAGGCAACUCAGUGAGACCCUGUCUCUA
RNAcentral lists this small RNA (125 nucleotides) under Marmota monax (woodchuck). The record is from RNAcentral. Lineage: Eukaryota; Metazoa; Chordata; Mammalia; Rodentia; Sciuridae.